UCUUCAUCACUGAGGUCUGAUUUCUCUCUGGAGGUACUAAGAAGCAGACAUCCAUGAGACAAAACCUUACAAGUUUUGAGCCACCUAAAUCCAUUGUCUCCAAGUUUGGUUCCUAGGGCUCUAUUCAGCCUAAAGUUGCAAUCAAUGGACAAG
Long non-coding RNA from Dipodomys spectabilis (banner-tailed kangaroo rat), 153 nucleotides. RefSeq lists it as uncharacterized. NCBI's taxonomy places the organism in Eukaryota, Metazoa, Chordata, Mammalia, Rodentia, Heteromyidae. The transcript has 2 exons. The record is from RefSeq and is a predicted model, not a curated record.